Small nuclear RNA from Uranotaenia lowii, 139 nucleotides. RefSeq annotates it as U4 spliceosomal RNA. The record is from RefSeq and is a predicted model, not a curated record. The transcript has a single exon. Lineage: Eukaryota; Metazoa; Arthropoda; Insecta; Diptera; Culicidae.
AGCUUUGCGCAGUGGCGAUAUCGUAACCAAUGAAGUUCUACUGAGGUGCGAUUAUUGCUAGUUGAAACCAAUAGUAUGGAAAAAAAUUUCUUAAAUUUUACGAUGCACAGCAAAAUAUUGCUGUAAAGUUGUUCGCAAU